CGUGUCGAUCAGCGGAUCAACACGACAACACCCUCGCCGGCUCGCUCGCCCAGCGCCCACCGCAUCCUCUGCCGGUUUUGCAAAAAAAGAACCCUCCGAAUUUUUGGAAAUCAAACGUAGUCCACCCGCAACCCCCAAACCCUAGCCGUCACCCGCUCCAGCCCGCACCUCCUCCUCGCGUCGUCACCCCGCACUCUCCUCCUCGCGCCGCCGCCGCUCCCGCGGCUCCCCUCCAUGCUCGCCUCCGUGGCCACGCGGAGGUGGAUCCGGCCGAGGACGCUGCUCCUGGACACAUCGGUGACCCGGCAUGCGGCUGGGCAGCUCGUGCCUCGCCCGAUGCGCCCGCCGGCGGGCAUCAAAAGGCUGCUGCCAGGGAGCUCUCUCAUAUCUAGCUAGGGCGGAUCUUCACCCGGCGGGCAGCGCAAGAUCUGCGGCGUGCGGCAGGUGGAUCGGCUCUGCGUGCUGGAGGUCACUGGCGCUGUUCUGGGGAACGCCAUGGUCAACGGCGCCGGCACCGCGUACAAUGCCAACGUCGCCGGUGAUGACCUCUUCGCCCGUCUCAUCGACGCGGACAAUCAAUGCGUCGAGAGUGAAGGCUGCAAAGAGAAGAACGGGCCGGCAGUGGUGACGCUUUAACGCUCAAAGGUGUCACCUAUCAAGAUGUCUUCGAGACGCUGGUACUUAUUUUGAAAUGGUCAUUUGGGUGGUGCAGAGAAGUGUGAUAUAAAAGAUCCGUCGUUGUCUACUGCUCCAAGUUUGCUGUCCAGCGGCUUCGUAGGAAGGUGUUUGUUGCUCCAAAGGUAGGUUCAGCGUUUGUUGCUCCGAAGGUAGGUUCAGCUUCCCUUUCCUGUUAAUGUCCUCUACUUUUGUUAGUUAGGUUUGGCUGCGACGAGUAACCAUGGUUGCUUAAUUAGGCCUACAAGCUAAAUACAUAAGGAACUUGACUUACAGGGCAUAAGGAACUUGACUUGCUUAGGUGUAAACUGUAAAGAGAGCAACUCUUUACGAGUAAAGAAAAUGAACCACAAUCCUCUUUAGUUGAUUAUCAUGAUUAAUUUCUAAUUCUGCUCAACUAUUCAGGAUGGGCUAUGAGGUAGAAAGUCUGAGAAAGGGAUUCAACUAAGGUUUAUUCAUUAUACAAUUUUCAGAAUAGUUCACUGCAAGAUUCAUUAGUUGUUUCAGUUCUCAAUAAAUUGCAUCAGAAGAAGCAUAUGAUCUGUCAAGAUAUGAUCUGUCCAGUUAUGCUUGGAAGCCUUGGAACUCAGAAUAGGUUAUUAGUGUAUAGCUAACAACUAAUGCUUUAGUUGAUAAUAAUAGGUAAAAUGGUUAGCCAUGACCUACCAUGCUGCAAUGUAAUUCCCCUAAUCCUUUUUAUUCUUGAGUUAAAUGAGAAUGUUGAUCAGCCAUCAAUCAUAUUGAGAUCAUUUGCUGAUAGGUUUCAAAAACUCAGGCAUGCCUUCUGGCAUCUGCUUGCUAGCUUGAUGAAACAUUUUUCUUCAAGAAUAUGUAAUCCAAUCUUUCAUGAAUCAACCAAAAUUUUGAGUGUAUUGCUGGUGCUUUCACUUUUGUAGUUCUCAAUUGUUUAACCAAUUUGGAUUCCUUAGUGUGGUAGUGAACCUAACAUCGACCAGUUAUGAUAGAUGAUCAACUUUCCAGUUUUUGUGUUAGAGGCUGGUUCCGUAGACCGCAUUUCAUUCUAGGUGUCAACUGUUUGUUAGAGUUUUGAGAGGAAGUCCAUUAUGUGGUACAAUUAGCAUGGAUCAUGGUUUGCGCUUAUCAAAGUUUAGUUGGAUAACCAUUUGUAGGACAAGUAUUAUACAUGUUCGGGUUAGAGUAGUGACAGAUGCUAUUUAGAAGUUAACUUUAACCAUCAUAAUAUUUCUAAAUUCUGAUGGCCUGGUAGGUUGUGUAAUAUGCUCAUGGGAAGUAUAUGUUGUGUUGUAGAGAUAGAUUCAGUUUUAAUUUUAUUUUCAGUUUCUGUUGAUGGCCAUUCAGAGGCUUUAUUAAUUUUUUGGCAUUUACAAAGCUGUAGAGGAACCAAAGACCUUCGAUUCAAUGAAAUUUCAUAUACUUUGGCCAAAUGGUUUAGUGGUUAUAGCUAUUUUUUUAUGGCAGCCUACCAGCCUGGAACUUCCGGGCAGAUUCUUAUGUGUGCUUUUAUAUCCAGGCAGAAGGAAAUAGAUGGGGUUCACUACCACUUUACAGCACGUAGUAAAAUAGAGAAAGAUAUAAGCGAGGGCAAAUUUCUUGAGUUUGCGCAUGUUCAUGGAAAUGUUUAUGGCACAAGUAUGUACUGAAGCAGCAGUUGAGGGGGUGUUUGGAAGACAGGAGUUAAAUUUUAGCCCCUAUCACAUCGGAUGUUUGGACGCUAAUUAGGAGUAUUAAAUAUAGGCUAA
Long non-coding RNA from Setaria italica (foxtail millet), 2396 nucleotides. RefSeq lists it as uncharacterized. The record is from RefSeq and is a predicted model, not a curated record. The transcript has 3 exons. Lineage: Eukaryota; Viridiplantae; Streptophyta; Magnoliopsida; Poales; Poaceae.